UAGCACUGUAUUUGAACCUAUCAAGCCCCUUCAUGGCUCAAUGGGCCAAGCAACAGUGCAAAAGUAAAGGCUUGUUAUAUAACUGGAGCCUCUUGGAAUUCCUGCCAAGUUGCUCUUUUAAAAGCAAGCUACAAUU
Small nucleolar RNA from Triplophysa dalaica, 136 nucleotides. The record is from RefSeq and is a predicted model, not a curated record. Lineage: Eukaryota; Metazoa; Chordata; Actinopteri; Cypriniformes; Nemacheilidae.